AUUAAUUAGGCAGAAUUAUUGUAUCAAAUUUAGAAUUUGAAUAUGGGUAACCAAUUAAUA
Molecule: transfer RNA, 60 nt
Filed under: Allothyrus sp. LamingtonNP-QMS95173
Lineage: Eukaryota; Metazoa; Arthropoda; Arachnida; Holothyrida; Allothyridae
Description: tRNA-Leu
Source: RNAcentral